RNAcentral lists this long non-coding RNA (587 nucleotides) under Olea europaea (common olive). RNAcentral's name for it is "long non-coding RNA (OEUR_LNC006464)". Lineage: Eukaryota; Viridiplantae; Streptophyta; Magnoliopsida; Lamiales; Oleaceae. The record is from RNAcentral.
AUGGCCACACCCUUUAUAUGGGCGUGCUUUGAAAAUUCCCAACUUUUAGUAAGUGCAUAUAAUCAAGAAAAAAUGCUAUUACUCACAAAAUGGUCCAGGAGUCGUUAGACAUGCUUUUAGAUAACUUGAGAGAGAGAGAGAGAGCUUGCAAAGUCUUCCCCAGUCCCAUCUGUAGGCAAACCAGUCACAGAAAUGAAAAAUCAUGGCAUUUGACGGAUAAAAGCAGUAACUUUUGUGCUUUUAGGACUUGCUGUUGUACUGGCUUUUCUACAAGGACAGAAUAUUAGCUACCGGAUGUACAAGGGUGACAGUCUCACUGAUUGCCCGUAAAACUCAUAAUCGCUACAUCUAAGUAGAUUCUUUCUCCAAAAGAUCAAGUAUUAACAUGUUCCAAAGAGCUCCUUCCCAAAAGUACUCCUACAUUACUAACUCGUUUACAUGUAUUGGAGGAAAUAUUGGAUGUAUGUUUCAAUUUAGUCCCCAAAUAAUACAUUUAAUUUAGAUGAAGUUUCCAACAUUUCAAAAUUAUCGGAGUAGUGUCUAUAAAAUAUUUUAACGAUAGAUUUUAUGUGAUUCACAACUUAUCA